CCCUUAGAUGUUCUGGGCCGCACGCGCGCUACACUGACGAAUGCAACGAGCUUAUAACCUUGGCCGAAAGGUCUGGGUAAUCUCCAAAUUUCGUCGUGAUGGGGAUAGAUUAUUGCAAUUAUUAAUCUUCAACGAGGAAUGCCUAGUAAGCGCAAGUCAUCAGCUUGCGUUGAUUACGUCCAUGCCCUUUGUACACACCGCCCGUCGCUCCUACCGAUUGAAUGGUCCGGUGAAGCGUUCGGACCGUGGCCUUUGGACGGUUCGCCGUCUGUUGGCUGCGGGAAGUUCGUUAAACCUUAUCAUUUAGAGGAAGGAGAAGUCGUAACA
Molecule: ribosomal RNA, 327 nt
Filed under: uncultured eukaryote
Lineage: Eukaryota
Description: partial 18S ribosomal RNA
Rfam family: Eukaryotic small subunit ribosomal RNA
Source: RNAcentral